UAGGAAGACACCUACUUUUAUUUACAGAAGGGAAAGAUGAAUGGAACAUCAUCGAGGAUCUUGCAGGAGCCCUCUCUGAUAGAGGGAAAGCCUGUAGACCAUUUUCUGUUCUUUCUCUUGGCCACAGACAUUCCUUUCAACAUGUGCUGACCUUCUGCUUGAAGGUCUCCUUGAGAACAUUGUCUCAGAAAUCUCUGUUGCAAUAUUUGAACGGAUCACUCAAUGCUUUUCACUGUUAAAUUUUCUCUACCGUCUCACCUUAGGCAAUAUAAAGUCCUGGUUCACUCUCAGGAACGAGAGCUGACCCAGUUAAGGGAGAAGUUACGGGAAGGGAGAGAUGCCUCCCGCUCAUUGAAUGAGCAUCUCCAGGCCCUCCUCACUCCGGAUGAGCCGGACAAGUCCCAGGGGCAGGACCUCCAAGAACAGCUGGCUGAGGGGUGUAGACUGGCACAGCACCUUGUCCAAAAGCUCAGCCCAGAAAAUGACGAAGAUGAGGAUGAAGAUGUUCAAGUUGAGGAGGAUGAGAAAGUACUGGAAUCAUCUGCCCCCAGGUAACAUUGAAUACUCAGGAGCAAGUAAUGGGUGGUAACAUAUGAAAAUGUCUAGGAGGCACGCCCUCUCUGGCAUCUAUGAUGGGCCAAAAGCCCGCAUUCCCUUGGCCACAGUAUGUGAAAUUCAACCCAGCUUAGACACAGGGUGCGGCAGCUGUUGUGUUUCUCUAUGUGUGCCAAGUGUCAUGUCUGUACCAUACAGGGAUAGCUGAGUCUUCAUCCUCUUCAGCUCCUAUCUGUCCAGUGCACUGAACACCAGCUGCUCUCUUCCUCUCUGGCUCCCAUGGCAGCGAAGCUCUGUUGCAGAGAGAAGAGGAUUGCCUGUUCCCUCUUAAAGGGAACCUCCAUUUGUUUUCUGGGACCACUCUCUUAAUGCCGCUUGUCAAAA
This 939-nucleotide long non-coding RNA is filed under the name Homo sapiens (human). Its description in RNAcentral is "non-protein coding lnc-GJA5-5:1". The record is from RNAcentral. Lineage: Eukaryota; Metazoa; Chordata; Mammalia; Primates; Hominidae.